RNAcentral lists this ribosomal RNA (1552 nucleotides) under metagenome. Its description in RNAcentral is "bacterial LSU rRNA". It matches the Rfam family "Bacterial large subunit ribosomal RNA", at positions 1407 to 2925 of the family's 2925-position model. The record is from RNAcentral.
UAGCGUAGGCGAUGGAAAGCAGGUUUAUAAUCCUGUACCGCGGUUAUUGUGUUUGAGAAGAGGGGGGACGCAGGAAGGAAACUUCUGCCUACCCAUGGACAUGGUGGGUCCAAAGCCGAAGUGAGGCUUCGUAGGAAAAAACGCGAGGCUAUUCAUGAGGGUAAGUAAGAAAGGGACUACGGUCCCGAUAGAAGCGGCACUACACUGCCGAGAAAAGCCCCGGUCUUCGAAUAAUAAUUGCGACCGUACUCUAAACCGACACAGGUGGACUGGGAGAAAAUCCUAAGGCGCUCGAGUGAAUCCAGGUUAAGGAACUAGACAGAUUGGCCCCGUAACUUCGGAAUAAGGGGUGCCCAAAGUAGGUGUAAUAUAUCAGCAAUGGUCAUAUGAAGCGGAACCGGGUUACAAUGAAGAGGUUCAACCGACUGUUUAACAAAAACACAUGUCUCUGCAAAGCCGUAAGGCGACGUAUAGGGACUGACACCUGCCCAAUGCUGGAAGGUCAAGAGGAGGGGUUAGCCGCAAGGCGAAGCUCUGAAUUUAAGCCCCAGUCAAUGGCGGCCGUAACUAUAACGGUCCUAAGGUAGCGAAAUUCCUUGUCGGGUAAGUUCCGACCUGCACGAAUGGUGUAACGAGUUGAACAUUGUCUCAAUCUGGAGCUCGGCGAAGUUGUACUGCUCGCGAAGAUGCGGGCUACUCACACUAGGACGGAAAGACCCCGUGGAGCUUUACUGUAGUUUGGUAUUGAUUUUUGGUGUAUUAUGUACAGGAUAGGUGGGAGGCUAAGAAGCGUGGCCGUCAGGUUGCGUGGAGCCGCCGUUGGGAUACCACCCUUAAUACACUAGAACUCUAACUUAGUCCCGUAUAUCCGGGACGAGAACAGUGCCAGGCGGGCAGUUUAACUGGGGCGGUUGCCUCCUAAAAUGUAACGGAGGCGCUCAAAGGUUCCCUCAGCGCGGUUGGAAAUCGCGCGUAGAGUGUAAAGGCAUAAGGGAGCUUAACUGCGAGACAAACAAGUCAAGCAGAUACGAAAGUAGGACUUAGUGAUCCGGUGAUUCUGAAUGGAAGGGUCAUCGCUCAACGGAUAAAAGUUACCCCGGGGAUAACAGGCUGAUCUUGCCCAAAAGUUCACAUCGACGGCAAGGUUUGGCACCUCGAUGUCGGCUCGUCGCAUCCUGGGGCUGAAGUAGGUCCCAAGGGUUGGGCUGUUCGCCCAUUAAAGCGGUACGUGAGCUGGGUUCAGAACGUCGUGAGACAGUUCGGUCCCUAUCCAGUGUGAGCGUAAGAGAAUUGAGGGGGGCUGCCUCUAGUACGAGAGGGCCGUGGUGGACUGACCUAUGGCGUACCAGUUGUCCUGCCAAAGAGCACUGCUGGGUAGCUAUGUCAGGAAGGGAUAAAAGCUGAAAGCAUCUAAGCUUGAAGCCUGCCCCGAGAUAAGUUCUCUGUUGCGAAAGCAAAAGUCCCCACGUAGACUACGUGGUUGAUAGGCCGGGUGUGCAAUGCAAGUAAUUGCUUAAGCUGACCGGUACUAAUCGGACGAACACUUGGCUGC